AUAUGAGCUGCAGCUCCUGUGUCUGGUGUCAGCCCUCCACGGCAGAAUCCUCCAAUUCAGACCCUACAUCUUCAUGGCUGUGGAGCAGCAGAGUCCUGCAGCAGGGUGGUCGAUGGUAAAGAGAAAAGGAUGCCUGGCACAACAGCCUCCCUAAACCUGCUGCAUUUUGGGAUUGAUGGUGGACAGAGUUUAUUUAACUGACAAAACCACUUUAAAGUCUUCUUCCACCACGAUAAUUUUCCAGGCCAGUUUCUCCUUGAAUGUAACACUGUCACCUUGGCUUUGACAACUGAGCUUUGACUCUUCCCAGGGCAUGUGCUAUAGACGUUAAGGCAUUUGGAUUUGCCUUCCUCAUCAGCAUGUUUACCUACAAGCAGCAUCUCAUGUGUGAGGCUACUAAGCUUGUUCUGUAAUAGGAGCCACACAAUUUCCCCACCAGGACUUCAGGCUUCACAGCUCAACACUCCAGUUUCUUCUCAGCUCCUGUUCUAAGGAAUGGGAAUAACACUUUCUCCAAGGGAAUGAACUCACAAAUUCCUCAAAUCCAAGGCCAUAACCUUCUGUGAAGCAGGCAACACUGUUUGGACUUCUUUCUUCCCUUCCAACUCCAGUUCUAACAGAGGUAAGAUGACAUAUUUGAAACAUGGCUCUGCUUUGGGUGCUCCCUUUGUCCUGUGCUCGAAAAGGAAAGGUAUAAACAAACUCCAGAGCCAUUACAAAAGCUCAGAGAUGUUUAUUUUGGCACAGUUAAAAAAAAUACACAAACACAUUAAAUAUCACAAUUUGUUAAAGCCAAUUUCAUAUAUUACAUCUGGAAUCAUGGAGGAGGGAGACUGAAAACAACACUCAUUCUAUGCUUCCGCUGACAGUGCAAUGAAUAAAGGACCAUUUAGAGCAGAAGUCUGCUGUGACAAAGGGAGAAAACAAAAGCUGCAUAGAUCCUGGAAAAGAAAUAAAGACAGGAACACAUUCACAGCACUUAAAGAGCGUGAUGGGGGGGAUCAGCACACAAAGGAGAAGAGACACCACGGCUGAGGAUGACACUGAGGUUAGAAGCAACCAAAGUCACAAUGAGGAUAAAACAAUACUACAAUACAGACAAUCCCUCAGUAAUUCCUGUGCAGAAAGAACACAUCUUGCAGCUAAGCAAUACAUGGAUGCAUUAUCACUGAACAGACUUGCACGCAGAAACUCCCUGCUUACGCGAGAUGCUGUUUCUCAGCAUUACGUUAGUUGCAUAGUUACUCUUUUUCCUCAAAAGGUUAAGAAAAUACUCAGUAACUGAGGGCAGGAACAACCCACAACCACCAUUUGUAUAAAAAGCAGCCUGUUUUGCUAGAUAUCCCUGCUCGGCCCAGCUCUCAUUCCUAUCACUUUGAGUAAGCUUUUAACCUCAGAGAACAUGAAUACAGAUACAAAGGUCCACACUCUCCAUAUGGGUACAGCAUCAGCUUAUGACACUUACAUUCCCAUUUUCUAAAGAGAACUGACUGUUCCACUUCCCAACCAUUAUGUUCAUGGCAGUGGCUGAUGAUAAAGAACUUCAAAGUAAUUUAUUUUAGGAGUGCAGACCCGUAACUGAGCUCCGGCUAAACUAAGCCAGGCAAUAGCAACACACACAGGUAGGUGGGAACCCACAAGCUGCUCAGAAAUAAUUUCACAUAUGGUGACAGUGACGCUUUGACCAAUUUAGCAACCUCAAGUUUUCCAGUCAUCUCCCUGUCACCCACUCUCACUCCCGGACCAUCGUGCCAAUUUAAACGUUCACAUGGCAACAGUCAGCCAUGCCAGGAGCCGAUUUGAUGACAGGUAGCCUAGACUAGCCAAGAUUUUAAAGCUACUUCCAUUUCCACGGCCACUACUUGGCUGGCAUUAGAUGGGCAAGAGGGUGCACCUGAGCCCACGGGCUUCUUGGGCUGGUUCUUUUAGCGAGGACUCUGCCCUAGGGUGCUGGCCUGCACAUUCAUAAGAGGCUUGACAAAAGAAACCUUUUAUCGCAUCAAUGGACAUUCACCUGACCUCUCCAGUUCAUCUCAACACUCACUCACACACCUAACAGAUGCACAGAGACCCUGCAGAAAAUUCAGUUUCCUUUUACCUGCUGCGUAGAAGGAGCAGGACAGAUGUAACAGCAUAUCAACCACAAAGCCAAAGCAAAUGGUUCUUCAUUCAAGGCCUGAGCAGAAGCGAGCUGAAAAGCAUCCAAAGCAAAUGAAUCUGUUGGGAUCCGACCCCUAGCAGCCAGCUUUCUGAAUGAUGGAUCUGUAAUUAGAAUCAAAAACUAGGGUCAGCUACAUCAGAAGCUGAAGAGGAUGUUUGAGGAGGUGUUUCUGUGUUUCUUUUUAAAUAUUACAAUUUAAGUAGUUACAUUGUCCUAUAACAAUAAAGCAGUGGCACUUAGUGUUUGCUGUUACAAACGGGUCCUUCACACAACUCCGUAUCCUUGGUUUCCCUCAGUCUUUUGUGUUGGCACACAGCAAUGAGACUUACUUUCCACUCUGAGGACACGGAACACUCCACGACACAGGAAGAACUCGCCAAAACUGAAAGUGUACCAAAGAAAGACAGAUUCUUUCAAGAUUAAACGUGGCCUCUGCAGAAAACAAAGGAAACCACAGAGCUGGAAUAGUGCAUUUCGAGAUCACCAAAGCAGUUCACAGAACUGGAUGAAGCCUGCCAUCAUCAUCUUUGCGCGAGUUCAGUUCUCUGUUAACAUUUGGCACUAACUCUUUGACACAGUCAUUUGGCUGCCAUUUAAGUCAGCUGCUCGUUGCCUGGCACUUCCCGUGGAGACAUAAAAAGUUUCUUCCACGCUGCAUACAGCUACAGAGACCUCAGUCAGGAAUGAAGGCUACACGUUGCUGACCCUGGUUUCAGAAGAUGAUAUCAUAGCCGCAGAGGCAGAUGUCACUAGUGAUCGUUCUCGUCUGACAUAUCGCGGCUUCCGAACUGAAACAGUGGGCAGAGAAACAUCGUUAGCACCUGCUGCAGAAGCGUGCCUUUGUCAUUCAUUCACAGCAAUGCAUGCCAUCCAACCAACCCCAAGCAGCACAUAGAGUCCACACACAAUGCAUGUGUAACAUACUGUCCCAUUUAAUAUGUUUUGAAAAAGUCAUAUUCAGACACUUCAAGCUUUAUUAGGAUCUCACUGGCUCAGUAAUCACAUAAGAACAGUCAGAAGUAGCACAAAUUUGGAUGCCCACAAAGAAAUAAGUUUGGUCAUGGACUGCAAAAAUUUGGUCUAAACCGGUGCAUUACACUGUGGAUUUUCACUUGUUUCAAAAAACUGAUGUGCUUUAGAUCAGCGAGCCUGAAAAUCGGCCAGCCUGGCAAUAGAAACAAAACCCCAACCCUGAAACUGGGCCCCAGACCACGCUAUUCUUCAAGACCCCUUUCUUUAAUCUACUUUCCUCUCUGUUAGAAUAAAAACAGAUCUUAAAAUUC
Molecule: non-coding RNA, 3444 nt
Organism: Coturnix japonica (Japanese quail)
Lineage: Eukaryota; Metazoa; Chordata; Aves; Galliformes; Phasianidae
Source: RefSeq, a predicted model, not a curated record